This 324-nucleotide ribosomal RNA is filed under the name uncultured eukaryote. RNAcentral's name for it is "partial 18S ribosomal RNA". It matches the Rfam family "Eukaryotic small subunit ribosomal RNA", at positions 1470 to 1796 of the family's 1831-position model. The record is from RNAcentral.
CCCUUAGAUGUUCUGGGCCGCACGCGCGCUACACUGACGAAUGCAACGAGCUUAUAACCUUGGCCGAAAGGUCUGGGUAAUCUCCAAAUUUCGUCGUGAUGGGGAUAGAUUAUUGCAAUUAUUAAUCUUCAACGAGGAAUGCCUAGUAAGCGCAAGUCAUCAGCUUGCGUUGAUUACGUCCCUGCCCUUUGUACACACCGCCCGUCGCUCCUACCGAUUGAAUGCUCAGGUGAAUAAUUCGGACUGCAGCAGUGUUUGGAUCCCGAACGCUGCAGCGGAAAGUUUAGUGAACCUUAUCACUUAGAGGAAGGAGAAGUCGUAACA